GAUGAAGAACGUAGCGAAAUGCGAUAAGUAGUGUGAAUUGCAGAAUUCAGUGAAUCAUCGAAUCUUUGAACGCACAUUGCGCCCUUUGGUAUUCCAAAGGGCAUGCCUGUUCGAGCGUCAUUUGUACCCUCAAGCUUUGCUUGGUGUUGGGCGUCUUGUCUCUAGCUUUGCUGGAGACUCGCCUUAAAGUAAUUGGCAGCCGGCCUACUGGUUUCGGAGCGCAGCACAAGUCGCACUCUCUAUCAGCAAAGGUCUGGCAUCCAUUAAGCCUUUUUUUCAACUUUUGACCUCGGAUCAGGUAGGGAUACCCGCUGAACUUAAGCAUAUCAAUAAGCGGAGGA
Molecule: unclassified non-coding RNA, 341 nt
Filed under: soil metagenome
Description: partial contains 5.8S ribosomal RNA, internal transcribed spacer 2, and large subunit ribosomal RNA
Rfam family: 5.8S ribosomal RNA (bases 1-120)
Source: RNAcentral